AUGGACUCACGCGUCGUUACGUUUGCUUCGCCAAAAAACGAAUGAAAUCAGUGAAUGGCCUUUUUUUCCCAAUAAAAAUCCGAACCGUGGUGCCAAUAUAGACUUCUUUGACCGCGAGGAGCAGAAAACUCGUCAAGGCAACAUCAUGACCCAUCGAUCAGUUGUUUACUUCGAACAAUUUCAGACAUAUAAGGAACUGUAUGCAAGUGGCAUCCGUUGGAAACCAUCUCUUCGGACACCUCCGCCUCCUAGAAUGGGCAAUCCGCCUAUAGGGGUACCCGCCAGCAGACCUCCCAGAUUGGGCAAUCUUCCUGUGGUAGGCCUACCACCUGACAAUAGUCCUCCUACAAUUGCUGCAGUUCUCCAAAGGUUCUUUAUAAAUCGGGCAGAUGACUUCUCAUUUAUAACUUACAGGACCGUACACAGUUUCUAUUACUACUACUCUUGAAUCCAUAUCGGAUAAAAAUAUUUCAAUCAAAAUCAAACUGUCUUGCAAACUUGUGCACCUGCUGCGAAAUAUUAGGAAUCUCCAAGUUCAUCUGGGUCUGUGACAAGUGUGUGUAGAUAACACACACAGAAAAUGCAUUUUAACAGCCAGCUAGAAGGAGAUUGGUUUGCAAAGACUGUCUUGUUAAAAGUUCAAUUUCUAAGAUUUGGUCAACAAGUUUAUGCUAGACUUCCUGAAUCAACUUAUUAUUUCCUGUGGAACAAUCAGCCAACACGUAUCCGGAAGCAGUAGUUUAAUAGGGUCCUCCAAUAAAAGCUGGUAUCGAAUUCAUGCAUUCGAGUGUCAACUCCUCUUCCCAGCGCACAUGGAUUGACUGAUGGGCUGAAUUUGACAUGUUGACAUUCAGAUAAGACACAAGGCAUAGUUCCUUUAAUCCUAUUUUUUUCUCAGCUCUCCUUUUCGUACAUGGUGAAUUAUUAUUAAAAAACCAGUUAAACCACAUGGUUGGAACUAUAUAUCAGUCUUGCUAACUGUAGAAUCAAUUAAGACAAAUUUUAUAGUGCUGAAGCAUUUUUGCAUUUUUGUUUUUGUUAUAAGGUGACAGCAUAACAUUGUCCUAUGUAUGGGGGUUUGAAGUUAGCUGGAUUGCUUGGUAGAUGUAUUUCUUAGAAUAUGUGACGUGUUCAUUCCAGUUGAAUCGGGUUGACAAUGAUGACUCUUGAAGUUUAUAAAGAUUGGGAAACCAUGCUGUGCUCCAAUGACAAUAGAACCCUAAUACUU
Molecule: long non-coding RNA, 1228 nt
Organism: Daphnia pulicaria
Lineage: Eukaryota; Metazoa; Arthropoda; Branchiopoda; Diplostraca; Daphniidae
Exons: 7
Source: RefSeq, a predicted model, not a curated record